CCUACGGGGAGCUGCAGUCGAGAAUCAUUCACAAUGGGGGAAACCCUGAUGGUGCGACGCCGCGUGGGGGAAUGAAGGUCUUCGGAUUGUAAACCCCUGUCAUGUGGGAGCAAAUUAAAAAGAUCGUACCACACGAGGAAGAGACGGCUAACUCUGUGCCAGCAGCCGCGGUAAUACAGAGGUCUCAAGCGUUGUUCGGAAUCACUGGGCGUAAAGCGUGCGUAGGCUGUUUCGUAAGUCGUGUGUGAAAGGCGCGGGCUCAACCCGCGGACGGCACAUGAUACUGCGAGACUAGAGUAAUGGAGGGGGAACCGGAAUUCUCGGUGUAGCAGUGAAAUGCGUAGAUAGCGAGAGGAACACUCGUGGCGAAGGCGGGUUCCUGGACAUUAACUGACGCUGAGGCACGAAGGCCAGGGGAGCGAAAGGGAUUAGAUACCCCUGUAGUC
This 446-nucleotide ribosomal RNA is filed under the name uncultured bacterium. Its description in RNAcentral is "partial 16S ribosomal RNA". It matches the Rfam family "Bacterial small subunit ribosomal RNA", at positions 338 to 795 of the family's 1533-position model. The record is from RNAcentral.